Long non-coding RNA from Hyalella azteca, 235 nucleotides. RefSeq lists it as uncharacterized. The transcript is spliced from 3 exons. The record is from RefSeq and is a predicted model, not a curated record. NCBI's taxonomy places the organism in Eukaryota, Metazoa, Arthropoda, Malacostraca, Amphipoda, Hyalellidae.
UCUACAAGCAGGUGCGCCGCCCCCCUCUGCCGUCCACUUCUACAAGCAGGACACGGAGGUGGUGAGUGACCGCGCCAGAGGUGUCCUAGUGACGAAGGACUCGUUGGUGCUGCAGCGCGUCACCGCCGCGGCGUCCGGCGAAUAUUCCUGUCGAGCGGACAACUCCCGCGGCUCCGACCACAGCAACCGACACGCUCUACACGUCAAGUUUGCCCCUCGCUGUCGGUGGGAGCAG